This 463-nucleotide ribosomal RNA is filed under the name Streptococcus mitis. RNAcentral describes it as "bacterial SSU rRNA". It matches the Rfam family "Bacterial small subunit ribosomal RNA", at positions 28 to 474 of the family's 1533-position model. Lineage: Bacteria; Bacillati; Bacillota; Bacilli; Lactobacillales; Streptococcaceae. The record is from RNAcentral.
GACGAACGCUGGCGGCGUGCCUAAUACAUGCAAGUAGAACGCUGAAGGAGGAGCUUGCUUCUCUGGAUGAGUUGCGAACGGGUGAGUAACGCGUAGGUAACCUGCCUGGUAGCGGGGGAUAACUAUUGGAAACGAUAGCUAAUACCGCAUAAGAGUAGAUGUCGCAUGACAUUUGCUUAAAAGGUGCAAUUGCAUCACUACCAGAUGGACCUGCGUUGUAUUAGCUAGUUGGUGAGGUAACGGCUCACCACGGCAACGAUACAUAGCCGACCUGAGAGGGUGAUCGGCCACACUGGGACUGAGACACGGCCCAGACUCCUACGGGAGGCAGCAGUAGGGAAUCUUCGGCAAUGGACGGAAGUCUGACCGAGCAACGCCGCGUGAGUGAAGAAGGUUUUCGGAUCGUAAAGCUCUGUUGUAAGAGAAGAACGAGUGUGAGAGUGGAAAGUUCACACCUGUGACG